Long non-coding RNA from Alosa sapidissima (American shad), 95 nucleotides. RefSeq lists it as uncharacterized. The record is from RefSeq and is a predicted model, not a curated record. The transcript has 3 exons. Lineage: Eukaryota; Metazoa; Chordata; Actinopteri; Clupeiformes; Clupeidae.
UGCAUCCAUGUUCAUUGUCCUCUGCUUGCUUUCAUUCCUUCUGCUUGCAGUAAUGUCAAUAAUCAACAUUUCGUAUGUUUAGGACUACUUUGUAG